AACGAACGCUGGCGGCAGGCUUAACACAUGCAAGUCGAGCGCCCCGCAAGGGGAGCGGCAGACGGGUGAGUAACGCGUGGGAACGUACCCUUUACUACGGAACAACUCCGGGAAACUGGAGCUAAUACCGUAUGUGCCCUUUGGGGGAAAGAUUUAUCGGUAAAGGAUCGGCCCGCGUUGGAUUAGCUAGUUGGUGGGGUAAAGGCCUACCAAGGCGACGAUCCAUAGCUGGUCUGAGAGGAUGAUCAGCCACAUUGGGACUGAGACACGGCCCAAACUCCUACGGGAGGCAGCAGUGGGGAAUAUUGGACAAUGGGCGCAAGCCUGAUCCAGCCAUGCCGCGUGGAUGAUGAAGGCCUUAGGGUUGUAAAGUUCUUUUACCAGGGAUGAUAAUGACAGUACCUGGAGAAUAAGCUCCGGCUAACUCCGUGCCAGCAGCCGCCGUAA
RNAcentral lists this ribosomal RNA (447 nucleotides) under uncultured bacterium. RNAcentral describes it as "partial 16S ribosomal RNA". It matches the Rfam family "Bacterial small subunit ribosomal RNA", at positions 29 to 523 of the family's 1533-position model. The record is from RNAcentral.